RNAcentral lists this ribosomal RNA (508 nucleotides) under uncultured Flavobacterium sp. RNAcentral describes it as "bacterial SSU rRNA". It matches the Rfam family "Bacterial small subunit ribosomal RNA", at positions 9 to 517 of the family's 1533-position model. The record is from RNAcentral. Lineage: Bacteria; Pseudomonadati; Bacteroidota; Flavobacteriia; Flavobacteriales; Flavobacteriaceae.
GAGUUUGAUCCUGGCUCAGGAUGAACGCUAGCGGCAGGCUUAACACAUGCAAGUCGAGGGGUAGAGUUAGCUUGCUAACUUGAGACCGGCGCACGGGUGCGUAACGCGUAUGCAACCUACCUUCAACAGGGGGAUAGCCCAGAGAAAUUUGGAUUAAUACCCCAUGGUAUUUUCGGAUGGCAUCAUCUGAUUAUUAAAGUUCCAACGGUUGAAGAUGGGCAUGCGUCCCAUUAGCUGGAUGGUAAGGUAACGGCUUACCAUGGCUACGAUGGGUAGGGGUCCUGAGAGGGAGAUCCCCCACACUGGUACUGAGACACGGACCAGACUCCUACGGGAGGCAGCAGUGAGGAAUAUUGGUCAAUGGGCGCAAGCCUGAACCAGCCAUGCCGCGUGCAGGAUGAAGCAUCUAUGGUGUGUAAACUGCUUUUGUACGGGAAGAACACCGGUUCGUGAACCGGCUUGACGGUACCGUAAGAAUAAGGAUCGGCUAACUCCGUGCCAGCAGCCG